This 443-nucleotide ribosomal RNA is filed under the name uncultured bacterium. RNAcentral describes it as "partial 16S ribosomal RNA". It matches the Rfam family "Bacterial small subunit ribosomal RNA", at positions 338 to 795 of the family's 1533-position model. The record is from RNAcentral.
CCUACGGGGGGCAGCAGUGGGGAAUAUUGGGCAAUGGGCGCAAGCCUGACCCAGCAACGCCGCGUGAAGGAAGAAGGCUUUCGGGUUGUAAACUUCUUUUCUGAGGGACGAAGAAAGUGACGGUACCUCAGGAAUAAGCCACGGCUAACUACGGGCAAGCAGCCGCGGUAAUACGUAGGUGGCAAGCGUUAUCCGGAUUUACUGGGUGUAAAGGGGGGGUAGGCGGGAAAGCAAGUCAGAUGUGAAAACUCCGGGCUCAACCCUGUGCCUGCAUUUGAAACUGUUUUUCUUGAGUGCUGGAGAGGCAAUCGGAAUUCCGUGUGUAGCGGUGAAAUGCGUAGAUAUACGGAGGAACACCAGUGGCGAAGGCGGAUUGCUGGACAAUAACUGACGCUGAGGCGCGAAAGCGUGGGGAGCAAACAGGAUUAGAUACCCUAGUAGUC